GCAAGGCAACACGAGCCAUACCUCAGAACAACAUCAACUGAAGCCGGCAGGACGGGAACCACGUUCCUCACCCUCAGCCAGGGACACGAGGCAGCUUAAGUGCACCCUGAAGCCAUCUUGGGAGGGGCAAGGAUGGAAGGAAGACAAGGUAUUGCACUCACGUGAAGAGGAUUUAGCCGUGGACACCAGGGCACCGGUGAUGAGGAGGAGGAGGAAGAGGGAGAUGGCAGCCAUGGAGACUUUCAUCCUCCUGGAUUGAGGGAGCUGCUGCAGGAGGAGAACUUGCCUGGUAGAGGCUUCUGAAGCUCCUGGGCUGAGGUGGUGCUGAGAAA
Prionailurus viverrinus (fishing cat) is the source of this 332-nucleotide long non-coding RNA. RefSeq lists it as uncharacterized. Lineage: Eukaryota; Metazoa; Chordata; Mammalia; Carnivora; Felidae. The transcript is spliced from 2 exons. The record is from RefSeq and is a predicted model, not a curated record.